GACGAACGCUGGCGGCGUGCUUAACACAUGCAAGUCGAACGGAAAGGCCCUGCUUGCAGGGUACUCGAGUGGCGAACGGGUGAGUAACACGUGGGUGAUCUGCCCCGCACUUCGGGAUAAGCUUGGGAAACUGGGUCUAAUACCGGAUAGGAGCCAUCUUUAGUGUGGUGGUUGGAAAGUUUUUUCGGUGUAGGAUGAGCUCGCGGCCUAUCAGCUUGUUGGUGGGGUAAUGGCCUACCAAGGCGGCGACGGGUAGCCGGCCUGAGAGGGUGUACGGCCACAUUGGGACUGAGAUACGGCCCAGACUCCUACGUGAGGCAGCAGUGGGGAAUAUUGCACAAUGGGCGCAAGCCUGAUGCAGCGACGCCGCGUGGGGGAUGAAGGCCUUCGGGUUGUAAACUCCUUUCGCUAGGGACGAAGCUUUUUUGUGACGGUACCUAGAUAAGAAGCACCGGCUAACUACGUG
RNAcentral lists this ribosomal RNA (466 nucleotides) under uncultured bacterium. RNAcentral's name for it is "partial 16S ribosomal RNA". It matches the Rfam family "Bacterial small subunit ribosomal RNA", at positions 28 to 507 of the family's 1533-position model. The record is from RNAcentral.